Molecule: ribosomal RNA, 869 nt
Filed under: uncultured bacterium
Lineage: Bacteria
Description: bacterial SSU rRNA
Rfam family: Bacterial small subunit ribosomal RNA
Source: RNAcentral
CCUGGCUCAGGACGAACGCUGGCGGCGUGCUUAACACAUGCAAGUCGAGCGGUAAGGCCUUUCGGGGUACACGAGCGGCGAACGGGUGAGUAACACGUGGGUGACCUGCCCUCCACUCUGGGAUAAGCCUGGGAAACUGGGUCUAAUACCGGAUAUGACCACGGAUCGCAUGGUGUGUGGUGGAAAGUUUUUUCGGUGGGGGAUGGGCCCGCGGCCUAUCAGCUUGUUGGUGGGGUGAUGGCCUACCAAGGCGACGACGGGUAGCCGGCCUGAGAGGGCGACCGGCCACACUGGGACUGAGACACGGCCCAGACUCCUACGGGAGGCAGCAGUGGGGAAUAUUGCGCAAUGGGCGGAAGCCUGACGCAGCGACGCCGCGUGGGGGAUGACGGCCUUCGGGUUGUAAACCUCUUUCGCCAGGGACGAAGCGUGAGUGACGGUACCUGGAUAAGAAGCACCGGCCAACUACGUGCCAGCAGCCGCGGUAACACGUAGGGUGCGAGCGUUGUCCGGAAUUAUUGGGCGUAAAGAGCUCGUAGGCGGUCUGUCGCGUCGGUCGUGAAAACCUGCAGCUUAACUGUGGGCUUGCGGUCGAUACGGGCAUGACUGGAGUUCGGCAGGGGAGACUGGAAUUCCUGGUGUAGCGGUGAAAUGCGCAGAUAUCAGGAGGAACACCGGUGGCGAAGGCGGGUCUCUGGGCCGAUACUGACGCUGAGGAGCGAAAGCGUGGGGAGCGAACAGGAUUAGAUACCCUGGUAGUCCACGCCGUAAACGUUGGGCGCUAGGUGUGGGGGCCAUUCCACGGUCUCUGUGCCGCAGCUAACGCAUUAAGCGCCCCGCCUGGGGAGUACGGCCGCAAGGCUAAAACU